RNAcentral lists this transfer RNA (72 nucleotides) under Candidatus Pacearchaeota archaeon. RNAcentral describes it as "tRNA-Asp". It matches the Rfam family "tRNA". Rfam says of the family: Transfer RNA (tRNA) molecules are approximately 80 nucleotides in length. Their secondary structure includes four short double-helical elements and three loops (D, anti-codon, and T loops). Further hydrogen bonds mediate the characteristic L-shaped molecular structure. tRNAs have two regions of fundamental functional importance: the anti-codon, which is responsible for specific mRNA codon recognition, and the 3' end, to which the tRNAs corresponding amino acid is attached (by aminoacyl-tRNA synthetases). tRNAs cope with the degeneracy of the genetic code in two manners: having more than one tRNA (with a specific anti-codon) for a particular amino acid; and 'wobble' base-pairing, i.e. permitting non-standard base-pairing at the 3rd anti-codon position. The record is from RNAcentral. Lineage: Archaea; Nanobdellati.
GCCUCAAUGGUCUAGUGGUUAUGACACGACCCUGUCACGGUCGUAACCCGUGUUCGAUUCACGGUUGGGGCG